This 497-nucleotide ribosomal RNA is filed under the name uncultured bacterium. Its description in RNAcentral is "partial 16S ribosomal RNA". It matches the Rfam family "Bacterial small subunit ribosomal RNA", at positions 28 to 507 of the family's 1533-position model. The record is from RNAcentral.
GAUGAACGCUGGCGGCGUGCCUAAUACAUGCAAGUCGAGCGAACGGACGAGAAGCUUGCUUCUCUGAUGUUAGCGGCGGACGGGUGAGUAACACGUGGAUAACCUACCUAUAAGACUGGGAUAACUUCGGGAAACCGGAGCUAAUACCUGAUAAUAUUUUGAACCGCAUGGUUCAAAAGUGAAAGACGGUCUUGCUGUCACUUAUAGAUGGAUCCGCGCUGCAUUAGCUAGUUGGUAAGGUAACGGCUUACCAAGGCAACGAUGCAUAGCCGACCUGAGAGGGUGAUCGGCCACACUGGAACUGAGCCACGGUCCAGACUCCUACGGGAUGCAGCAGUAGGGAAUCUUCCGCAAUGGGCGAAAGCCUGACGGAGCAACGCCGCGUGAGUGAUGAAGGUCUUCGGAUCGUAAAACUCUGUUAUUAGGGAAGAACAUAUGUGUAAGUAACUGUGCACAUCUUGACGGUACCUAAUCAGAAAGCCACGGCUAACUACGUG